AUUGUUGCUUGGAAGAGGAGUAGUAGAAACGAACGCAUUUCAGAGAGCGCACGGUGCUGAGAGUGUGUAUGCGGGACAGUCGAACUUACCUCGGAGCAUGAUCGAUCGAUCCGGUUAAAGACCGUUAUUUCUUUUGAGGUCUGUCUCUUUGACAGAUAAAUAUAGGUGGUACCACGUUGAUAACGUCCUAUGA
Molecule: non-coding RNA, 193 nt
Filed under: Enterococcus gilvus
Lineage: Bacteria; Bacillati; Bacillota; Bacilli; Lactobacillales; Enterococcaceae
Description: T-box sequence
Rfam family: T-box leader
About the family: Uncharged tRNA acts as the effector for transcription antitermination of genes in the T-box leader family. T-boxes are found upstream of many aminoacyl-tRNA synthetase genes and some amino acid biosynthetic genes usually in Gram-positive bacteria. The anticodon of a specific tRNA base pairs to a specifier sequence within the T-box motif, and the NCCA acceptor tail of the tRNA base pairs to a conserved bulge in the T-box antiterminator hairpin.
Source: RNAcentral